Trifolium pratense (red clover) is the source of this 1245-nucleotide long non-coding RNA. RefSeq lists it as uncharacterized. NCBI's taxonomy places the organism in Eukaryota, Viridiplantae, Streptophyta, Magnoliopsida, Fabales, Fabaceae. The transcript is spliced from 4 exons. The record is from RefSeq and is a predicted model, not a curated record.
CAAAACAUUUUGACAGUAGAAUUUUUUAUAUGUCAUGUAGGAGUAAUUUGAUUGAUAGAAUGAAAGAGUAAAAAAAAUACAACAAAAAAACACAAUAUCAGUUCCUCUCUCUCGUUUACAGACCCAAGGGGUCUAUUUGUAAAUUUUUUUAACAAAAUAAUUCAGUUUUUAUUUUCUUUCUCUCUCUUUACCAAAGAAGAUUUGAGAAGCUAUAUCUCAUCCUCUCAACAAACCUAGCCGCCGCCGCUACCACCACCACAACUCUCACAAUCUCGUCUAUUUCUGUUCAACCUUCACCAUCUUUCUUUUCUCCUUCUCAUAUAUUUCCCGUCAAGUUUAGUUUUAGAUCGGAGAUAUUUUGAAAUUUCUCAACCGUCAUCUUCAUGGUUAGAUCUAGAUCACGAAAGACUGUCUUUUAAAAAACCAACACCAUAUAAAUACUCUACUCCUUCUCCUCUACAAAACCCACAAAGAAAAAAAUCAAGAUUGGAACACCUUCGCCAGUGACAGCCGCGCCGGAAAACACAACCACCACACCGGAAAAUCGCAAAAUGAUUGAGAUUUUGAAAUAUGGCUUCGUGUUUUCAGUGUGGGUCGCGGAAAAGAAACUCAAUGGUGAUGAUUUACCAGCGAUGUAGUGAAAAAUGAAAUCAAGUUAAAAGUUUGUUUUCAGAGGGAGAUGCAAACAGAUCAACUAUAACAAUGUGCAAGAGCUACUUCAACAAGCUUUGAUAAGAAGGAGGAACAACCUUUCACGGGACACUUGCAUUUUAUUUUUGUGUAAAUAUUUUAGUGAUAAUAUUUGUAAAGCCCAGCUUAUUUCAAACUACAAUUUAAAUAUUAAUUUAUUUUUUUUGAAUUAUAUCUUGAAUAUUACGAUAAAAUCCAUUACAUAAUUUUACAUAUUUUAUUUUAUUUUCAAUUUAAUUUAAUUUUUUCAUUUUCAAUUAAAAUAUUUUAUUUUAAUUUUGCUGAAAAUAGCUAUUUUUAUUUUUUUUAAAUAUUAAAUACAGUUCCUACGAAAAUUUCGUAGGUAAUGUGCUGACACAUGCUGACUAAAGUGGCAGCUGACACAAAUACGUUUCCUACGAAAAUUUCGUAGGUAAUUUCGUCGGAAAUGUUGUAGGAAUAGUCAGGUUUUUGCCUACAAAGCUCUUGGUAGGAAAUGUCGUCGGAAAUGUUACAUUUCCUACGAAAAUGGGCACUAUUCCCACGAAAUUUUUUGUAGGUAAUGCAGAGGAUUCU